AACCGUGAGCCCAAGGACGCUAGAGUGGAUAAUACCUUAUAAGAGUAUGAAUCGUGACAAUCAGAUUGAUCUGAGACGUCGAAUGAGUGAAUGUCCGAAUCUCGAAAUUAUAUCGAUUUGAAGCUUAAGUCUCGACCCGUGACACUAACACCUAUAUAAUUUCAUCUACAUACUAUUUUUUUGUGCAAUACGGACAAAAAGAGAAUUACUUAUUUUGUUAAAAAUGUUUGCGGUAUUUCAAGAAUAAAUGGUAAAAUUUAAAAAAAAAAAAAACUGAAGAAAGAUAAAGAUACUUCUGAUAUUAACAUGAAAAAUGAAAAAAAAAAAAAAGGAAAAGAAAGAGAACAAAAGAGGAAGAAGAAAGAGUUUUUCUCAAUGUUGAGGACAAUAAAGGGUUUUUCUGGCAUUGACUAAAUUAUUAAAAAAAAAAAAAAAGAAAAGAUGGAAGGUUUGGAAGAAGGGUGAACAAAUAUGGAAAAACAAAGUAGAGAAUGAAGGGAGGAAAAUAGGGAAACAUGCAGAUUUUUUUUUUUUAAUUUUGAUUAUAAUAUAUGUGUGAGGUUUGGUAUGUUUGGGAUUCUUUUGAAAUUGAUUGUGCCAUUGGUUUGGGGAGAAACAUAAAAGAUAAGUAAGUUUUUUUAAAAAUUUCUCCUAAAAAACCUUUCGUUUUCUCUCAAAUUUACCUUAUGUAUUUCUUUGUAAUUGUUUAUAGUUGGGUUUGAUUUUUUUUUUUAGAUCAAUAAUCAGUUCGAUUUUGAUUAGUUUAUACUUAAAAUUUUUUCUGAUUUUGAGUUUUUGCUUUUGAUUUUGUAUUUUUAGACAUUUUAUAUUUUGUCUAAGCAGCUAAGAUAAUGUUGAGAAAGUCUACUAUUGGCUCACGGGUUCAGAAUUGAAAAGCAAGGAAGGAUUUUUUUUUCAUUUCUUUAAAUAGAAAGUUUUUUUAUUUUUAAAUUAUUUUUUAAAACUAUUUUAAUAUCUUCGAGAAUCUUCUACAUUAAUUUUUUUUUUCAUUCUUAUCUCUUUGAAGACGUGCAUUGUUGAUUGGAUGUGAAGGCUUUUAUCGGAUAAGAUUGAUUUUCAGGAAGUAGAAAAAGAAGGAUAGAUACGAGUUUUUUAUAUUAAUAAUUGGUUAUUUCAAUAGAUUAAAUUUAUUUU
RNAcentral lists this long non-coding RNA (1155 nucleotides) under Durio zibethinus. RNAcentral's name for it is "long non-coding RNA (DZIB_LNC000865)". Lineage: Eukaryota; Viridiplantae; Streptophyta; Magnoliopsida; Malvales; Malvaceae. The record is from RNAcentral.